Molecule: long non-coding RNA, 292 nt
Organism: Polypterus senegalus (gray bichir)
Lineage: Eukaryota; Metazoa; Chordata; Cladistia; Polypteriformes; Polypteridae
Exons: 3
Source: RefSeq, a predicted model, not a curated record
AUAAGGUUUGCAGUGUCUCAUAGCACAGUCUCAAGACAUUGGAGGAGAUACCAGGAGACAGGCCAUUACAGAAGGAGAGCUGGACCGGGCCAUAGAAGGGCAUCAACCCAGCAGCAGGUCCGAUAUCUGCUCCUUUGAGCGUGGAGGAACAGGAGGAGCACUGCCGGAGCCCAACAGAAUCGCCGCUGGCUACAGGUGUGGAACUUGGUUGGGUUGCCAGCUGUUAUACUGCACCACACUCGGAACAGCAAGUGAGAAAAUGCGUGGAUUGAUGAGCAGAUGUUCUGUUCUG